Molecule: ribosomal RNA, 253 nt
Filed under: uncultured bacterium
Lineage: Bacteria
Description: partial 16S ribosomal RNA
Rfam family: Bacterial small subunit ribosomal RNA
Source: RNAcentral
UACGAAGGGUGCAAGCGUUACUCGGAAUUACUGGGCGUAAAGCGUGCGUAGGUGGUUUGUUAAGUCUGAUGUGAAAGCCCUGGGCUCAACCUGGGAAUUGCAUUGGAUACUGGCAGGCUAGAGUGCGGUAGAGGGUAGUGGAAUUCCCGGUGUAGCAGUGAAAUGCGUAGAGAUCGGGAGGAACAUCUGUGGCGAAGGCGACUACCUGGACCAGCACUGACACUGAGGCACGAAAGCGUGGGGAGCAAACAGG